UUAACUUAUUAUAUAGUACUCAGACGACAUUAAAACAUAGAAUUUUGGGGUCUCUGGCCGGGGCCCGAAGGCUGACCGACCAAAGCAACAAGUCGCAGGACCGUUCCGGUGAUGCGUCUACCGUAUCGCUACGGCUUUCACAUACCUUUCCGGGCCUGCUAAAAUAACACAGGGUGGGAGGUCUACCCCGAAGGGCAUGAACUCUGUAAUGAUCCUUCCGCUGGUUCACCAACGGAAA
This 238-nucleotide unclassified non-coding RNA is filed under the name uncultured fungus. Its description in RNAcentral is "sequence contains ITS1". Lineage: Eukaryota; Fungi. The record is from RNAcentral.